Molecule: long non-coding RNA, 1882 nt
Organism: Zeugodacus cucurbitae (melon fly)
Lineage: Eukaryota; Metazoa; Arthropoda; Insecta; Diptera; Tephritidae
Exons: 2
Source: RefSeq, a predicted model, not a curated record
CGUUGAGUAUAUCAAAAUUAUUAACCGUAGUAAAUGUUGGCUAUUUUAAUUCAAAUGCCCAAAAGUUUGUAGGGUCGGCUUUAGUAUACUAUCCCAGGCUUUCGGUAGUAAAAUGGGUAUCUUUGGAAAGGGGAUGCUCUCCAGAUUAAGAAUAUAUAUAUAUAUAGCUGCAGCUGACUUAUAGUUUUCGAGAUAUUCGCACUUAAAGAUGAAAAAAGUACAACUUUUAUCUCGAAUUUUCACAAUAUAUACAGAAUAUUUUAUUAAUAUUAUGCACUUAUUUUACACAUACACUUCACCACAUUGUUUCUGCAUAUUUAUUUUAUAAAAAUUAUGACGAAAAUAGCUGUAAAUAAAUAUUUAACAUUUUAAACAUAUUUAUUUUUACAAGAAAAAACUUUUCAUUGCCCCCUCUUUGAUAACUCCCGGUGUUGGAUCGACCAGGGUUAUUUUUUUGAAGCGCGGCCGAAGGCCGCCAAUGUGGAAAGUAGUUCUUUGCGAAAGAACUUUUCAUUUUACCCUCUUUGAUAACUCCCGGUGUUGGCUCGACCAGGGUUAUUUUUUUGCAGCGCGGCCGAAGGCCGCCAAUGCGGAAAGUAUUUCUCUUUGAAAGAACUUUUAAUUUCCCUUACUUAUAGUACAUAGAGUUAAUAAACUUUCUUUAUAUUAUCUUUAUACAAUCUUUUUAUAGGGCAUUUGUUUUCUGCAUUUGGGGUAUUUAUUUAUUUGGAUUCUUCUAAUUCGUUUGAAAAAUAUUUGAUAUGGCAACACUUAUUACUUGUCAAGCCGCAACACUUUUUGUUAUUGUUGAAAUUAAGAUAUUUGUGUAAAAUGUUAAAUAUUUAUUUACAGCUAUUUUCGUCAUAAGUUUUAUAAAAAAAAAUAUGCAGAAACAAUGUGGUGAGGUGGUACUUCACAAAUGGAAGAAGCAAAGGAGUGGGACGAUCUCUAAUUAGCCGUCGGAUUAGUGUCACAUUUAAUUCUUCCUCCUGACUCAUGAAAAAUAAUUCUUAACUACUCAACAAAGUGACUUGGUCUGGGUUCCCGGCCAUAGGAACAUCUUCGGUAACGAAAAGACAGACGAGUUGGGAAAAACAAGAGCCGUUCUAGACGAAUCCGAAGCUAUGCCAAUACCAUCCCCGCUAGGAACGAUCAAAAGAGAGCUCAACAUACAAUUUGAACAAUUAACAGAGAACAGAUGGAAGAAUACAACAAAAUAUAAAAUAAGUAAACAGAUAUGGCCAAAAUAUGAUAAGACUAGAACUGGGGUAUUAUUAAAUAGGUCCAGGAAAAGUAUUUUAAGACUUACAGCUACUCUAACGGGUCGUUGGACAUUUGGAGAACAUGCAAUGAAAGUGGGCAUAACCUAUAAUAACAUUUGUCGAGGCUGUGAACUAGAGGGGAAUAAGGAAACUAUAUUCCACUUUCUCUGUGAAUGUCCAGCCCUAUCGCAGAUCCGACACAGGACACUUGGAAGCCAUCAGGCAUCAAACCUUGAAUGGAUGUCCACUAAAAGCAUGCAUGCAUUUUCAAAAUAAUUGUCAAAAAUGUAAACUAUCCAUAAAGAUCUUGCUAUCCCUAUGGUAAAGAAAGAAGUAGAGAACAGCAGAUUGAAAUAUAUAUCUAAACUCCGUGAUCACCCAAACCCAUUGGCUAAUGCUUUAGUACAUUUCUGCGAUCAAACACGCCUAAAAUGAAGGGAUACUAAAGAGCAACGUUUCACCAAUACAGCUCAAUCAUUUGGUUGAGCUUGUCUAGUUUUUAAAUAGAUUUAAGAUUUUAUAACUUGUUAGGCUUAAAAACAAGCAGAUUCAAUAAAUAAAUAAAUAUUGAGAAAAUAUGUAAAAGUAAAAAUGUAAAUAAAAAAUGUAAUGUAAAAGCU